CCCUGGGGAGGCUGUGCAUGGAGGCAGGGGUAUGUGCAGUGAGUGUAUCAUACUGAUGCUAAGGUAUAUCAAUUGUAUAUACGGACAUAUACAGUACGUAUACAUGCAGAGUAAGAGAGUAAAUCACGUCUAUAUAUCUAUAAAUAAUAUCCUAUAUAUUUAUACAUUUUUUAUGUUUUAAAUAGAUAUAAAAAUAGUCUAUAGAGCUGGAAGGGUGGUGGGGAAGUCUGGUGCUGGGUUGGGCUAGGGGAAGGGGACAGGGCUCUGGAGAGGAGGUAGGAAUGCUCAUCAGAAUAGGUUACUAGCCGCUGAGGGGGGCGUCUUCCUUGGGGUGUUGGAGAGGAGGGCAGCUGUGUUCAGGCUCUCUCCAUGCACUUUCUCUCCUUUCCUGCCAGCAAGGCUGAGGCUGGAAGGAGAUACCCCCGAGCUCCGACUGCAGUACCCCUACCUCCCACCACCGCCAGCCCGCACUUAGCUGGUCAUUGCUGCUUAGCAGUGGGGGGUGGGACUUGGUCCCCGACCCCUAGUGGAGGGACCUCUGCACAAAUUCCCCAAUACCCGCCCCUGUCAGGAAUGAGCAACGUUGAUGGCAAUAGGAAAGGGGCACCUGGGAUGAACAAUUAUCCAGAAAGACGACGACGUCAGCCCCAUUCCCCGGAUGCCUCUGCCCCCCCCCCGGGAGGCCAAGCCUCUAAAGUACAACCGUCCUGGCCACCUUCACCUAUUCAACCACUGUCUCUAGAGCACUGGGAGUUGAGGAGGGCAGCGUGAGCUUUAGGUAGCGCUGCCUUUCCCCAUGCAGAGGCCCCCCCCUGGUGGAAGAGAUGUAUCUGCACACUGACAUUUUCAAUGGCAACUCAA
This 861-nucleotide long non-coding RNA is filed under the name Rattus norvegicus (Norway rat). RNAcentral's name for it is "long non-coding RNA NONRATT019480". Lineage: Eukaryota; Metazoa; Chordata; Mammalia; Rodentia; Muridae. The record is from RNAcentral.